CUUUGGGGUGAGUCCAACACAUCUAUGCUGCAGCUGAUCAUAUUGUAGCCUGCUGAGAAGGACCUCUUGAUCUUCAGAGCACAUUUCCUGGCAGAAAAAAUAAGGCAAGCACAAGAGGACCUCAUUCCAGUCUGCUCUUGGCCAUGCAAUGGACUAUGCUCUAUGAAUUGGCAGAUUGGCUCCCUAUGGACAGCAAGAACAGAGGCAGAUGCUGCAGCCAUCACUCCAGGGUCCAGAAAUGUGUUGUAAACUGCACAGCUUAAAGGUCUCAUCCGUAUUUUCAUCUAUGGCUUGCUUCUCCAUUUCAUUCACAAAGAUGUUGGGAGAGAUGUAAACACCCGAGUAGACUAUGCACACCACAGUCCCCCUGCUCUACCAAGCUACUUUUCUUCUGGCGAAUGGCUCAACCCCAGCUCUUAUUGCUCAUUGCCAUUUUUCUCCUCCCUGUUUUCUACUGAGAACUCUUCUCCCUAAUCCUACUGAUGACAGGGGCCUGCAGACUUACAUUAUUUCCCUGGCCUGGGCUUUAUGACUGAAUCUCAAGAGUCCAGGAGCAGACUUCCUCCCAUGGGUAAAUAUGUAGGUCACAUUAAAGAAUGUAUUCUGCAAUUCUUCACCUCAAGAAAAUGCCAACAAAUCCCGGAGAAUGGAAUAUACCUUGGGCAUUAUUUCCAAGUCACGUUUAGGGUUCUUUCACAUUCCAUGCCCAGGGCUAACUCUUGGUCAUUUUCCUCUCUGCUUAGUUUCUGCCUCCCCUGGUCUGAGUAAGUUUCUGUCUGAAUUCUCUUCAUGCCUCAUCUUCUUCCCAAAAUGAAAGGAGGAUAGUUACUCACAAUUUUGCCAUUUUGAUACCUUGCUGAGAGCACUUUAUAAAUAUUACAAAAGAAAUCUAGAAGGAUUCCACAUCCCAUCCCAGAUCAUUAGGGACCAGCCCCUUCAGUGUACAGAAGAGUAAACAGACAACAGAGAGGGACAGUAACUUGUCCAAAGACACACAGCUAAUUGGUGGCAGUUCUGGAGGCCAGAUCCCCAACCCCCUAAAGCAAUGGUCAUUCAUUCCUGUGAAAGCCACCGAGGACAGAUGUUCUCCUACUUAGAAACAAUUGUUGAGGACAUUUGUCUGUUGACUUCCUGGAUAUUCUCAUCAGCUUCCAACGAAUUCAGACUUCUUACUGAGCUUAUGAAACCAGGAAGCACCAGCAGUCUUCGGAUCUCUUUCUCUGGAGGCCCAAAUUCCCCUAACUGAGCAGCUCAGGCUGCCGUGGCUCACCUGUCCAAAGUCAGAGAGUUUCCUGCCCAAGCCUGGGUUUUCCAGGACCGCAGUGGACAUGCUGGCUCCCCG
Molecule: long non-coding RNA, 1342 nt
Filed under: Homo sapiens (human)
Lineage: Eukaryota; Metazoa; Chordata; Mammalia; Primates; Hominidae
Description: HSALNT0194103
Source: RNAcentral